GACGAACGCUGGCGGCGUGCUUAACACAUGCAAGUCGAACGAGACGAUUGAAAGCUUGCUUUUGAAAGUCGAGUGGCAAACGGGUGAGUAACGCGUAGACAACCUGCCUUUGAGAUGGGGACAACAGUUCGAAAGGACUGCUAAUACCGAAUGUUGUAUAUUUUCCACAUGGAAGAUAUAUUAAAGAUGGCCUCUAUUUAUAAGCUAUCGCUCAAAGAUGGGUCUGCGUCUGAUUAGCUGGUUGGUGGGGUAACGGCCUACCAAGGCGACGAUCAGUAGCCGGUCUGAGAGGAUGAACGGCCACAUUGGGACUGAGACACGGCCCAGACUCCUACGGGAGGCAGCAGUGGGGAAUCUUCCACAAUGGACGAAAGUCUGAUGGAGCAACGCCGCGUGAGUGAAGAAGGGUUUCGGCUCGUAAAGCUCUGUUGUCGGGGACGAAUGUGCAGUAUUUGAAUAAAGUACUGUAAUGACGGUACCUGACGAGGAAGCCACGGCUAACUACGUGCCAGCCGCCGCGGUAA
Molecule: ribosomal RNA, 524 nt
Filed under: uncultured bacterium
Lineage: Bacteria
Description: partial 16S ribosomal RNA
Rfam family: Bacterial small subunit ribosomal RNA
Source: RNAcentral